UUAAGCGACUAAGCGUACACGGUGGAUGCCCUGGCAGUCAGAGGCGAUGAAGGACGUGCUAAUCUGCGAAAAGCGCCGGCGAGGUGAUAUGAACCCUUGACCCGGCGAUGUCCGAAUGGGGAAACCCAGUGCAAUCCGUUGCACUAUCGUUAACUGAAUACAUAGGUUAACGAGGCGAACCGGGGGAACUGAAACAUCUAAGUACCCCGAGGAAAAGAAAUCAACCGAGAUUCCCCCAGUAGCGGCGAGCGAACGGGGAGCAGCCCGGAGUCUGAAUCAGCUUGUGUGUUAGUGGAACGGUCUGGAAAGUCCGACGGUACAGGGUGAUAGUCCCGUACACGAAAAUGCACAUGCUGUGAACUCGAAGAGUAGGGCGGGACACGUGGUAUCCUGUCUGAAUAUGGGGGGACCAUCCUCCAAGGCUAAAUACUCCUGACUGACCGAUAGUGAACCAGUACCGUGAGGGAAAGGCGAAAAGAACCCCGGCGAGGGGAGUGAAAAAGAACCUGAAACCGUGUACGUACAAGCAGUGGGAGCCUCUUUAUGGGGUGACUGCGUACCUUUUGUAUAAUGGGUCAGCGACUUAUAUUCUGUAGCAAGGUUAACCGUAUAGGGGAGCCGAAGGGAAACCGAGUCUUAACUGGGCGUUAAGUUGCAGGGUAUAGACCCGAAACCCGGUGAUCUAGCCAUGGGCAGGUUGAAGGUUGGGUAACACUAACUGGAGGACCGAACCGACUAAUGUUGAAAAAUUAGCGGAUGACCUGUGGCUGGGGGUGAAAGGCCAAUCAAACCGGGAGAUAGCUGGUUCUCCCCGAAAGCUAUUUAGGUAGCGCCUCGUGAACUCAUCUUCGGGGGUAGAGCACUGUUUCGGCUAGGGGGCCAUCCCGGCUUACCAACCCGAUGCAAACUACGAAUACCGAAGAAUGUUAUCACGGGAGACACACGGCGGGUGCUAACGUCCGUCGUGAAGAGGGAAACAACCCAGACCGCCAGCUAAGGUCCCAAAGUCAUGGUUAAGUGGGAAACGAUGUGGGAAGGCACAGACAGCCAGGAUGUUGGCUUAGAAGCAGCCAUCAUUUAAAGAAAGCGUAAUAGCUCACUGGUCGAGUCGGCCUGCGCGGAAGAUGUAACGGGGCUAAACCAUGCACCGAAGCUGCGGCAGCGACACUAUGUGUUGUUGGGUAGGGGAGCGUUCUGUAAGCCGUUGAAGGUGUGCUGUGAGGCAUGCUGGAGGUAUCAGAAGUGCGAAUGCUGACAUAAGUAACGAUAAAGCGGGUGAAAAGCCCGCUCGCCGGAAGACCAAGGGUUCCUGUCCAACGUUAAUCGGGGCAGGGUGAGUCGACCCCUAAGGCGAGGCCGAAAGGCGUAGUCGAUGGGAAACAGGUUAAUAUUCCUGUACUUGGUGUUACUGCGAAGGGGGGACGGAGAAGGCUAUGUCAGCCGGGCGACGGUUGUCCCGGUUUAAGCAUGUAGGCGGAGGUUCCAGGUAAAUCCGGUACCUUGUUAACGCUGAGGUGUGAUGACGAGGCACUACGGUGCUGAAGUGAUAAAUGCCCUGCUUCCAGGAAAAGCCUCUAAGCAUCAGGUAACACGAAAUCGUACCCCAAACCGACACAGGUGGUCAGGUAGAGAAUACCAAGGCGCUUGAGAGAACUCGGGUGAAGGAACUAGGCAAAAUGGUGCCGUAACUUCGGGAGAAGGCACGCUGAUGUGUAGGUGAAGCCCCUGCGGGUGGAGCUGAAAUCAGUCGAAGAUACCAGCUGGCUGCAACUGUUUAUUAAAAACACAGCACUGUGCAAACACGAAAGUGGACGUAUACGGUGUGACGCCUGCCCGGUGCCGGAAGGUUAAUUGAUGGGGUUAGCGGCAACGCGAAGCUCUUGAUCGAAGCCCCGGUAAACGGCGGCCGUAACUAUAACGGUCCUAAGGUAGCGAAAUUCCUUGUCGGGU
This 1950-nucleotide ribosomal RNA is filed under the name human gut metagenome. RNAcentral's name for it is "bacterial LSU rRNA". It matches the Rfam family "Bacterial large subunit ribosomal RNA", at positions 1 to 1977 of the family's 2925-position model. The record is from RNAcentral.